GAUGAAGAACGUAGCGAAAUGCGAUAAGUAGUGUGAAUUGCAGAAUUCAGUGAAUCAUCGAAUCUUUGAACGCACAUUGCGCCCCUUGGUAUUCCAUGGGGCAUGCCUGUUCGAGCGUCAUUUGUACCUUCAAGCUUUGCUUGGUGUUGGGUGUUUGUCUCGCCUUUGCGUGUAGACUCGCCUUAAAAUAAUUGGCAGCCGGCGUAUUGAUUUCGGAGCGCAGUACAUCUCGCGCGUUGCACUCAUAACGACAGCGUCCAAAAGUACAUUUUACACUCUUGACCUCGGAUCAGGUAGGGAUACCCGCUGAACUUAAGCAUAUCAAUAAGCGGAGGA
Molecule: unclassified non-coding RNA, 336 nt
Filed under: soil metagenome
Description: partial contains 5.8S ribosomal RNA, internal transcribed spacer 2, and large subunit ribosomal RNA
Rfam family: 5.8S ribosomal RNA (bases 1-120)
Source: RNAcentral